Molecule: RNA transcript, 2139 nt
Organism: Musa acuminata subsp. malaccensis (wild Malaysian banana)
Lineage: Eukaryota; Viridiplantae; Streptophyta; Magnoliopsida; Zingiberales; Musaceae
Gene name: protein DETOXIFICATION 16
Source: RefSeq, a predicted model, not a curated record
CUUGUUCACUGCGGUAGCGUCCAACGUGAGGACUGGAGAUCCCUGUCUUCCACUACCGGCCAUACGAAUGGAAGCAGCUGCCCGGCUCAAGUGGGACCUACAUGCGGCGUCACCGCUUCGUCCGUUCAACAAGGGAGGUUGAAUUUAUCGGGUACGUCGAAAUCGACUAGGCGGAUCGAUCACACUCCCUUCCCUUUCCAAGCGGCUCCGGUCGUCCUCCAUCUACUUUAAAGAGGACGCCUCCUGCGGAGAGAGGGGAGGAAGAAGCACAAGAGAAUGGAGAAGCCAGGCCUGGAUUCGCCUCUGAUCCCAGGCCACACCGAAGUCCUUGUCUCUGGUGCUGAUGUGGUGAACGAAGCAGGCCUGAAGAGUGACGGAGAGUUCUUCGCCGAGAUCAAGAGGCAACUCUGCUUGGCGGGGCCGCUAAUAGCAUCGAGCUUGUUGCAGAACAUUCUUCAGGUCAUAUCAGUCAUGUUCGUUGGCCAUCUUGGGGAGCUUGCCCUCUCUGGUGCUUCCAUGGCGACCUCCUUCGCUGGGGUCACUGGCUUCAGCUUCUUGUUGGGGAUGAGUACUGCAUUGGAUACAAUGUGUGGACAAGCCUUCGGAGCAAAACAGUACCACAUGCUUGGCAUACACAUGCAGAGAGCCAUGCUUGCCCUAACACUAGUAAGUCUUCCUGUUGCUGUGAUCUGGUCCUACACAGGUUCGAUUCUCAAACUAUGCGGGCAAGAUCCGGAGAUUGCAACCGAAGCUGGAUUGUAUGCUCGGUGGAUGAUUCCCACCAUUUUCGCAUAUGGACUCCUACAGUGCCAUGUUAGGUUCCUGCAGACCCAGAACAUUGUCUUCCCUAUGAUGCUGAGCACCGGCGUCACAGCUCUGUCGCACGUUCUUGUGUGUUGGCUUCUGGUGUUCAAGUCUGGCCUCGGAAGCAAAGGUGCAGCUGUGGCAAUCUCCAUCUCUUACUGGACAAAUGUGCUGCUGUUGGCACUAUAUGUCAGGCUAUCUCCUGCCUGCAAGAAGACUUGGAUUGGCUUCUCGAGAGAGGCUUUACAUGACAUGUCCACCUUCAUCAAACUGGCUGUUCCAUCAGCUACUAUGGUCUGCUUUGAAUUCUGGUCAUUCGAGUUGCUCGUGCUUCUCUCGGGCAUUCUUCCAAAUCCAAAGCUAGAAACAUCAGUUUUGUCGAUAAGCCUCAAUACUGCUUCCAUGGUGUUCAUGGUCCCUUUUGGCCUUGGUGCUGCAGUAAGUACACGCGUUUCAAAUGAACUUGGUGCUGGCCAUCCACAAGCUGCAAGCUUAGCAGUAAAGGUGGUGGUAUUCCUGGCCAUCACAGAAGGAUUGAUAGUGGGCUUAACCAUGAUUCUGGCGCGAGGCAUUUGGGGUUAUGCAUACAGCAACGUGGAAGAAGUCGUAAGAUAUGUGGCCAUUAUGAUGCCAAUCCUCGCAACCUCAAACUUGCUGGAUGGAAUGCAAUGUGUACUCUCAGGUGUUGCCAGAGGAUGCGGGUGGCAAAAGAUUGGUGCUUUAGUUAAUCUUGGAGCUUAUUACAUUGUCGGCAUUCCUUCGGCUCUCCUUCUAGCGUUUGUCCUCCAUGUUGGAGGAAAGGGACUUUGGAUGGGAAUAAUAUGUGGCCUCUUUGUACAAGUGCUGCUCUUUUCGGCCAUUGCCUAUUGCACUAACUGGGAGAAAGAAAGCUGCAGGGGAUGAGAGUAUACAUGUUGUUUUUCUCCAACGAUGUUGGAUGCCGUUGUGGCGGGGAUUAAAGCUUUGCUAAUGCUAACUGCUAGGAAGGCGAAGGACAGAGUGAUCAACUCCACCGUUCCCAAAGACACUGCAACAUGAUGGCAUGAUCAUGUGAAGCUCCUGUAAGCUUCUGGCCGUCAGAACUGCAAUGAGAAGCAGAGAGGAGAAUGCAAUUGUUACAGUAUGGCACCAGAAAAAUUGUUGAAAAUAACAUGAAACUAUUGUUUGGUGCAUCUCUAUUUUCAUGAAUAUUUUCGACUUCUCUUUGUUGUGAAGUCCAUUUUUCAUUUUGUCUUUUACUUUCCGCCUUUAAAGUACUAAGUUGAUCGACUAUUAAUUAUUGGACUUUGAGCUUGUGAAAUUUGAGAAAUUAUGAAAUAAAGGAUAGGUUUUGGA